Molecule: long non-coding RNA, 99 nt
Organism: Populus euphratica (Euphrates poplar)
Lineage: Eukaryota; Viridiplantae; Streptophyta; Magnoliopsida; Malpighiales; Salicaceae
Exons: 2
Source: RefSeq, a predicted model, not a curated record
CCAACUAAAUCAUCAUUUGCUAAGCUAUUAGUAAGUUACUCCGAAUUAGUUUAAGCACAGCUUCUCUUUUAGUUAAUAAUUGAUCUACAUAUUCCACUA